GAAAUGUGUAAUGAGGUCACGUUGUACUACUCUCCCUCAAGUCAAUUUAAGUCUACCCAUUUUUUUCUUUCUCCUUGUCUAACUAGAGUCUCCGUAUAUCUACGCUUUACAUGACCAAAACCACCUCAAUGAAAACAUGCAUGCUAAUUGAUCUAUUGUAAUAGAUCCAAAUUUUAUUAUGAUAUUUUCAUUACAGUCUCUCUCUCUCUCUCUCUC
Molecule: unclassified non-coding RNA, 216 nt
Filed under: Hevea brasiliensis (rubber tree)
Lineage: Eukaryota; Viridiplantae; Streptophyta; Magnoliopsida; Malpighiales; Euphorbiaceae
Source: RNAcentral